CAGACAGUCGCGUGGUUUGGCCGAAAGGCCUCUUCAUGAGGAAAGUCCGGGCUCCAUAGGGCAAGGAUAACGGGUAACGCCCGCCGAAGGCGACUUCAGGAAAAGUGCAACAGAGAUAUACCGCUGGUAAAUGGCUGGCUGAGGCCGGUGUCUGCCAGUAAGGGUGGAAAGGUGCGGUAAGAGCGCACCCGACGGCUGGGAACUGUCCGUCGCUGUAAACUCUAUCCGGAGCAACACCGGUAUGGGAGCAUAGAGGCUGGCCCGGCUGCUCCCGGGGUGGCUUGAGCGUACCGGCAACGAUACGCCUAGAUAGAUGACUGUCAAAUACAGAACCCGGCUUACAGUUUUGCUCG
Molecule: RNase P RNA, 353 nt
Filed under: uncultured Dysosmobacter sp.
Lineage: Bacteria; Bacillati; Bacillota; Clostridia; Eubacteriales; Oscillospiraceae
Description: Bacterial RNase P class A
Rfam family: Bacterial RNase P class A
About the family: Ribonuclease P (RNase P) is a ubiquitous endoribonuclease, found in archaea, bacteria and eukarya as well as chloroplasts and mitochondria. Its best characterised activity is the generation of mature 5'-ends of tRNAs by cleaving the 5'-leader elements of precursor-tRNAs. Cellular RNase Ps are ribonucleoproteins.
Source: RNAcentral